ACAAAAUUUGGGAAUGUGAAUUUACUCUACUUUGUGUUAAAUUAUUAAUAGUCAAGGAAAACUAGGCAUGCAAAAGAAAAGCCUUAUGUUAAAUUUUAAAUGUUAAAUUACAAUUAGAUUCAUAGUUUGGCUUGCUAUACCUUAGAAAGUUAUUUUAUAGAGCAUGCGCGAAUUUAAAUUUAUGGUACGAGUGUUUUCAUUGAUUAACUGUUUGUUGCUUUCUUUCUACUUAUUAUCUCCAUUUGGAUAAGAAAGCAUAAGCAUUCGUUUUAUACAAAUCAGAGUGACAUAUAGUCUACUUAAAUUUACAAUUGAUUAGACUUUGAUAAAUGUAACUGAAAAUUUUUGUUCAUAUCGAAGGUCAGCGUCUAAAAUUUUUAGCAUGUUGACUGAAUUCUUUAAACCUUUUGAGUUAAACUGAAAGCUGAUUAAUUAAACAAUUAUAUCUUGGUCUGGGGAACGGAAACCCAGUGAUUUUGUGUAUGACAUUUUUUGUGAUGUCUUGCGAUAUUCACAAUUUAAUGAUAUAUGCUGAUUAUCUUGUCUUCUAAAUUAAGAUAAGUAUAAAAUAAAAAUCGUUAAAAAUCUUAAUUUACUAUACGUUGAAGCUUCUUAAAAAGCUAUGUUCUUUAAAAAAAAUGGUGGUCAGCAACAAAUACCAGUCUUUUUCUGCAAAUAAUAGUGUUAUGAAAACAGCAUUACUUGGUUUUGAGCGUUCAUGCCUACAUCUUAAUACAGGGUUAGGGCAUUUACAAGUCGUACGCGUAUGAUGUUUGAGAUUUACGGGAAGUGCCGAUAUUUUCUCAUCGCUACGCGGUAGUCAGUUUCUGGAUUUGCUGUUUGGAAAAUUAGGACAAAAUUUUGGUUCGGGACACAUUUACAGAAAAUUGUAGUUUUUGUUUUCUCAGCUAAAAGAGAACUCGGCAUUACGUGGGACAUGUUUGAACAACAGGGGAAUAGUCGCUGCUUGAAACAUCCGGAAAUAGUUUUAUUCGGAAAUUAAAAACAAGUUUAUGGCGUUGUUGGUUUCGUUUGUGACAGGUUGGAACGGCAAUGUGCUAGUUUAGAUCGGCUUUGAUCCUUUUUGAUGAGAAAUUGAUGGUCUACGCGUGGUAUUUAAGGUCUCAUGUUCGCACUCUGCUUCUUUGGUUACAACCAAACUUUUAGUGAUUCCUACAACUUUUUAAGGUAGCGUUCAAUGUUCUUGCAAAAUUUAUUCCUUGGCUUUUUGGCCGUCGUUUGUGCCAACGCUCAGUUCGCUGAAUUUACAGCUUUUGAUGGUAAAUUUGAUUUCAAGGAACAUUUGACUUCCCGUAGCCCCUAUCAUAAACCCUACUUUUACGGCCCAAGCAUUGACUUUCCCACCACUUGUAAGAUAAAGCAGGUCCAUACUCUUCAAAGACAUGGUUCUCGUAAUCCUACCGGUGGAAAUGCUGCUUUCGAUGCUGUUGGAAUCGCUAACUUUCAGCAAAGAUUGCUUAAUGGAUCAGUUCCUAUUGAUUAUAGUGUCUCAGGAAAUCCAUUAAGUUUUGUACCAACUUGGACUCCUGUUAUUGAAGCUGCUAAUGCUGAUGCCCUUUCUAGCAGUGGCCGUGUCGAGUUAUUUGACAUGGGACGCCAAUUUUACGAGCGUUACCAUGAGCUCUUUAAUGCUAGUACUUACAACAUUUACACUGCCGCCCAGCAGCGCGUUGUAGAUUCUGCUCUUUGGUAUGGAUAUGGUAUGUUUGGUGAAGACGUUCAUAAUUUUACCAAUUAUAUCCUUGUUUCAGAGAAUGCUACUGCUGGAUCCAAUUCCUUGUCUAGUUACAACGCUUGCCCUGCUUCGGACGCGGAUGAUUUCACUACCCCUGCUCUCGAAGCUUGGAGAAAUGUUUACAUGCCUCCUAUUCGUCAACGUUUAAACCCUUACUUUUCCAACUAUAAUCUUACCAACGACGAUAUCCUUAACUUAUACGGAAUUUGCAGUUAUGAAAUUGCCCUUCAAGACUAUAGCGAAUUCUGUAAGUUGUUUAACUCCGUUGACUUCUUGAAUUUUGAGUAUGAGGGAGAUCUCUCAUUUUCCUAUGGAAUGGGUAACUCCGUCAAAUGGGGUUCGAUCUUUGGAGGUGCCUAUGCUAAUAGCCUUGCAAAUUCCCUCCGCAGCGUCGAAAACAAUACUCAACAAGUUUUCUUCGCCUUUACUCAUGAUGCCAAUAUUAUUCCUGUUGAAACUGCUCUUGGAUUCUUCACUGACAAUACUCCUGAGAAUCCAUUGCCUACUUCCUACCAAGUCCACUCUCACUCCAUGAAGGCUUCUGAAUUUGUCCCAUUUGCUGGUAAUUUGAUUACUGAGCUUUUCCAAUGUGAAGAUUCUAAGUACUAUGUCCGCCAUCUUGUUAACGAGGAGGUAUUCCCUUUGAGCGACUGUGGCUUUGGACCCUCUAAUACAUCCGAUGGUAUGUGUGAGUUGUACGCCUACUUGAAUUCUCCCGUUCGUGUGAAUGGUACCUCUAAUGGUAUCCAGAACUUUGACACUCUUUGCAAUGCUAGUGCUGUGGCUGCUGUUUAUCCUUAUUAA
RNAcentral lists this long non-coding RNA (2560 nucleotides) under Schizosaccharomyces pombe (fission yeast). RNAcentral describes it as "cis-acting regulatory lncRNA prt, pho1 repressing". Lineage: Eukaryota; Fungi; Ascomycota; Schizosaccharomycetes; Schizosaccharomycetales; Schizosaccharomycetaceae. The record is from RNAcentral.